AGCCGCUGGCUCGCGAAUGUUUGCUCGUCGACUUGGAAGAGUAAUGGAAGAACAAUGAUCUAGCGUCUUCUCCCAUCCAGUUCCCGCACGAACUAAGUUUUCCUCGAUAUUCUGCUGGCUAGACCAGGUGGAAUUCCAUAAUCGUACUACUUUUUUUUUUUUUUAAAACUUUGAGACAUCUGCAGGCGAUGUCAAAAGGGUAAACGGGUAGAUCAGCGUCUUAUGUUGAACACUAAGAGAUAUUAAAUGUCGAAGUUCCUGUUCGUUAACAAUACAACACCCAGUCGUCGUCGUCGUCCUUGUAUGGUCCUGUUUUUGUUAAGUAGAGAUAGGUACGUAUCCCUGCCACGCUCAGAUCACAACCUCAAGAAUUUUGUUUCCAGUGAUCCUUCCCAUGUGUAUCGAAUAUUCUGUAUAUCGUUAGCUUAUACAUUUCCUAUUCUAUCCCUUAACCUCUUCAGGGACGAUUUCUUUUUUGUUAUUAUCAAAUUUUUAUUCUAUUUAUUAUUAACAGUAAUUAUAAUGAUAAAAAACUAAACGUCCACAUACGUGGUCAAGAGCGUGAAGAUGUUAAAAUCGAGCAAUAUCUUCCAAAAACAUCCCGUAUACAUACUUAUUAUGUAUAUUGCAUGAAACGUAUAUAACGAUACAUGUUGGUUUCAAAUGUUGUUCACGCAUUACAUAACGUAACGAUUCGCGUAGCUCAACCUGUAGCGAUUCCGGUUAGGGUUGAAUAGAAUCGAUCGUUUAUUUCUCCAGUUGUCAUUGCGAAAUCUACGACUAAAUAGUCGAGAGCUGUAGCGAUGCGUCGCUAGUUAAUUCAGCUGUCUUGUCCGUCGUAGUGAAACGUUUCGUAGACGAUACCACUCCCAAAUGUGCGUCCAAAGAUAGUGUAAUCGUAUGGCUGAAAUAAAUUUACGUACUUCCCAAAAACGAAUACGCAUUGACUACGAUAAACGGUGCGAUUGCGCUCAAGCAACGCAGACGACUUUUUUUCCGCAGGGGAAUUGACGGAUCCACCGAAAGCGUGAAACUUACUCGAGAGCGAAAUAUAAUCGUUUUAUCUGUCCAGCGUGCGUCCCGUGCAUUUCUCUAACACGUUAUCCUGUUUAUUUCUAGGAUUCAGGAGGAGCCACGUGCUCAGGAGUAACGUGACGCGGAUACAUUCCUUUAGCGAGACGGAGUCGCCCAUCAAGUGUCCCCAGUGCGGCAGAACGUACAAGAUGAAGCGAAAUUUGACGACUCACAUGAAAUUUGAGUGCGGCGGACAAAGAAACUUUACGUGUCACGUGUGCCCGGCGAAAUACACGCAGAAUAUCGGACUGCGUCGACAUCUCUUGCAAAGACACAACAUUUACCUACCGCCAAAGUUCUCCAUGCCUAAGCGCAUUUUCGAUCAGGGAUCGACGAACUCUUAGACCUUCUUUGCAGGAAUUCUCCAACGAAUCGUCAAUUUUUCGACGAGGAUGACUUAUCGUGACGCUUCGCGGCUCGGCACGCCUCGUAUAGAACGCAUACUUUCUUGUCUAUCCUUAUCGAAUUCUUCCACGGUUACUUUACAGAACGUGCCUCGAUGGAAACGAUCCCCCCCCCGACUCGAGCAUUUUUCUAUUUCGGACGAAUUUGGAAGACUUCGAACCGACAGGGUAGACCGAAUCGAACGAGACUAAAGGUAACUUACGGACGAAACCUUAGGCACAUUUUGUACAGGAUGUAAGAUUGUUAUUAUGCGAGGAACGCGGAAUAAAAGGUGCACACGAUUCCCCGACCACUCUUUUCAUUAUCCAAAAUCGCUCUGUUUUCCCGACGGCGACUAGUAUAACCGCUAGAGUACCUUGCGAUGGUUGUUUUCUCUCACAGGACUUUAGACACCUGACGUCUCGUUUUCAUUGUUUUGCAGAGCCGAUAAUCGCCGCGGGGGGAUCCAGAAACGGAUGCUUCAGGAAUAUGGAAGCGUUCACCUGUCACCAGUGCGGCAGAUCGUACCAAAUGAGGCACAAUCUGGUGAAACAUUUGAGAUUCGAGUGCGGCGGGCGCAAGCAUUUUGGCUGUAGUUUGUGCCCGGCGAGGUACACGCAGAACGGGAAGCUAAGGCAGCACAUGCUGAACGCGCACAAUAUCUUCAUCCCGCCGCGAAAAACUUGGAUAAGGCCCACUUAUAGCACUUGAAUAGACCCCACCUAAAACCCUUCCCGUGCGAAGUCUUCGUAGAUGGAACAUUUCUGUGCAACAUUUUUGUGAACAAUAAGUUAGGUGUCGACGCUAGUUUAUCUUUUCUUACAGUAGAUAGAACCGGGCGUGGAUAUUUGUUUAUGUAACGUUUCCGACAAUGGAUGAGAGAGUAACAAUAAAUAGUUUUGGGAAAAUGAACGCUUGCGAGAAGCCACUAGUUUUAUCCAACGCGUUUCAUGCUUGUUCGUCGCGUGGUCGGGCCGAUUCGUUUGCGAUUUCUACGAGGAUCUCCUUACCAUUGAACUCUACCACGAAGAGGCGACAGCUUCCCAAGACUCAUCAUCAUCGAAGAGCCUGUAUACGAGCGUUGGAGCUUCAGACCGACUACUCGUUGGACAACCUGAAGUCAACGACGAAUGCGACAACCGAUGAAGAUUUUCUUCCACUUUACCUCUCGAGGAAUGAAGAUACUCUAAAAAUCAUCUGACUGUCACUUAUUCAUUUUUGCUGCUCCUUUUGUCCCUCUCCUCUUCGCAUAAUAAAUUAUUAUUUACAGCCCG
Hylaeus volcanicus is the source of this 2732-nucleotide long non-coding RNA. RefSeq lists it as uncharacterized. Lineage: Eukaryota; Metazoa; Arthropoda; Insecta; Hymenoptera; Colletidae. The transcript has 2 exons. The record is from RefSeq and is a predicted model, not a curated record.